Molecule: non-coding RNA, 56 nt
Organism: Bos taurus (domestic cattle)
Lineage: Eukaryota; Metazoa; Chordata; Mammalia; Artiodactyla; Bovidae
Source: Rfam
UGGCUCAGAGGUUAAAGUGUCUGCCUGCAAUGCAGGAGACCUGGGUUCGAUCCCUG